CGUUGAUACUGCUGUGCAGCCUUGUUUCAACGAAACCCUAGGGUGUACUAGGGUUCAGGUAUGUUGAAAGGGUGCUCUGAGGUUUGGGGGCAUCGACUGAGGUGGUUGCUGAAACCCUAAUCUAGGCAGAAACCCGAGAGCAAGAUUGAUUUCGCUGCUCUGGCGAUUUCGCUGCUGGCGAUUUCGCUGCUCUGGCGAUUUCGCUGCUCUGGCGAUUUCGCUGCUCUGGCGAUUUCGCUGCUCUGGCGAUAGAGCUCCGCUCUGGCGCUGGGCUUCGCUGCUCUGGCUAUUGAGCUCCGCUCUGGCCCUGGGCUUCUCUGCUCUGGCUUUAGCUCUGCUCUGGCUUGGGCUGCUCUGCUCUGGCUUGGCUGCUCGGAUCUACUGUCUAUCUGAAUCAAAGCGAGAGUUUAUCGAAAGACGAUGAGGAUUGCCUAAAGACGAAGACUUUUGUAAUAGAUUAGUUUUCCCUUUGUAAUAAAGUAGGCAGGGACGAACAGGUUCCAAUUUCUACGACAAGACGACACCUUUUACGUUUUUAUUGUCG
This 544-nucleotide long non-coding RNA is filed under the name Salvia miltiorrhiza (redroot sage). RNAcentral's name for it is "long non-coding RNA (SMIL_LNC001323)". Lineage: Eukaryota; Viridiplantae; Streptophyta; Magnoliopsida; Lamiales; Lamiaceae. The record is from RNAcentral.